RNAcentral lists this long non-coding RNA (1155 nucleotides) under Anser cygnoides (Swan goose). RNAcentral describes it as "lncRNA (ENSACDG00005019243.1)". The record is from RNAcentral. Lineage: Eukaryota; Metazoa; Chordata; Aves; Anseriformes; Anatidae.
CCCCGUUCCCGUCACAUUUGGGAAGUCCAGGUGCGAACAGGGCCUGGCCGCUUCUGGCACAGCCCUGCCCCGCUUGCUGCUGGCCCCGCUCGCCAACGCUGGCUCGCCGGCGGGGGGGCUCGCUCCCAGCAGCUUCCCUCAAACCUCGUGGAGCUGCGCCAGGAAAAACAAGGUGUGACCGAAGCUGGGGCCUUGGGAGGAAGAAAGCCUCGCCGCCCCACAGAAUUCACUCCUCGUACCGCUGCUUCGCCUGGAAAAGUCAGGAGGGAGCCAGCCUUCUCCGCCCCGAAUAAAGGGUUUGUGCCCGCGGCUGCAGAGGGGCGCGGAGAAAACGUUGCUGAACCCCGGCGUAAGGAAGCAGGGGGAAAGGAGAGAGUGCAAACAGGGUUUCGUGCUUUUUAUUUUUAUUUUUUUUUUAAACGUCUCCAGGGGACUUGGCACAGCCAGCGAACAAAGCCCUCGGUGUCCCUUCAGACGUGGCGGCCGGAGCCGAGCGAGGCAGGCGUUGCGGCACGCCGGGAGCAAGCGCGAGCACGAAGCGCCUCUCCCGCCGCCCCGUGUGAAACCCGACGAAGCGCCGGAGCUGCCGGGCGCGCACCUGAGCUUGCUCACGCCCCGUUCGUUCAUCGCCCCCCUCCCUGCUGCAAGGGCACGAGGCAUCUUGCAGGCGCUUGCGAGGAGACGGCGCCCGUCCCCUGCGCCUGGACCCCCGCUGGGUCUCUGCCGGCUCGUGUUUGCCGGGCUCUGCCCCCCCGGCGCUUUAAGCUAGCAGCGAGGUACCGAAACGUAAAAGGAGAAAAAUCUGAGUUUUUUGGGGAUCUCCAGAAACCUAAAUUACACCCGCGGGGCUUGCCUGGGCUGGAGUUAAGGGCAGGCUCUGCCCUCCACGCUGCUGCGGCACCUCAGGCUGACUGCGGCGGGACAAAAUCCUCACAUCUCCUGCAAAUAAUAAUUAAAAAGGAAUUUUUUUUUUCACCCAAUAACACAGCCACGGCUUGUGCUUUGGCCAUCCGUGGUCCCGGGUGCCCUGCAAACGUGACACCCCGCUGCCGCUCUGCAUUUCGGGACCGAGACACGGGCUUGCAAAGCUCUGACCUCAGUCCAGGAGGAGUCCGGCACGCCACGAAGACGAGAUUUGUGUUUUUAUCAGAUUGA